RNAcentral lists this ribosomal RNA (389 nucleotides) under Solenysa sp. 14 SL-2010. RNAcentral's name for it is "partial 16S ribosomal RNA". Lineage: Eukaryota; Metazoa; Arthropoda; Arachnida; Araneae; Linyphiidae. The record is from RNAcentral.
AAAAACAUUUCUUAUAAAAUAAUUUUAAGUAAAAUCUGCUCAAUGAACAAAUAAAUAGCCGCAGAAUUUUUACUGUGCUAAGGUAGCAUAAUCAUUUACCUUUUAAUUAAAGGCCUGUAUGAAAGAUUUAACAUUUAAAUUACUUUCUUAUUUAAAUAUUUUAAAUUUUAAUUAAAUAUCAAAAUGUAUUUAUUUUUAAAAAAGACGAUAAGACCCUAUUGAACUUUACUAUUGUUAAGCUGGGGUAGCUAAUUAAAUAUAAUUUUAAUUUUUGAUUUUAUAAUAAAUUUUCUAAUAAAAUUAAAUAUAAAAGUUACCAUAGGGAUAACAGCGUUAUAUUAUUUUAAAGAUCAUAUUAAAAAUAUUGUUUACGACCUUCAUGUUGAAUU